RNAcentral lists this ribosomal RNA (253 nucleotides) under uncultured bacterium. RNAcentral's name for it is "partial 16S ribosomal RNA". It matches the Rfam family "Bacterial small subunit ribosomal RNA", at positions 524 to 776 of the family's 1533-position model. The record is from RNAcentral.
UACGGAGGAUCCAAGCGUUAUCCGGAAUCAUUGGGUUUAAAGGGUCCGUAGGCGGUCUUAUAAGUCAGUGGUGAAAGCCCAUCGCUCAACGAUGGAACUGCCAUUGAUACUGUAAGACUUGAAUUUUUGUGAAGUAACUAGAAUAUGUAGUGUAGCGGUGAAAUGCUUAGAUAUUACAUGGAAUACCAAUUGCGAAGGCAGGUUACUAACAAACGAUUGACGCUGAUGGACGAAAGCGUGGGGAGCGAACAGG